AAGUAUCGGCUAAUAUCUGUGCCAGCAGCCGCGGUAACACAGAAGAUGCAAGCGUUAUUCGGUUUUAUUGGGUGUAAAGGGUUCGUAGGUUUUUUAUUAAGACUUUUACUAAAUAAUAAGAAAAUUUAUUACUAAAAAGUGACUAAUAAAAUUGAGUAUAAAAAUUUAGGGUAGAAGUAAUUUUUUGUGUAAUAGUAAAAUGUUUCUAUACAAAAGAGAGCAUCAAAGGUGAAGACAUUCUACUUAAUUUAUACUGACGUUGAGGGACGAAAUUUAUGGUAGCGAAUGGGAUUAGAUACCCCAGUAGUCAUAAACGUAAACGAUGAAUACUAAAUUUUAACUUUUAAAUAAUGUUAAAGUUAAAGUUAACACGUUAAGUAUUCCACCUGGGGAGUAUAUCUUAGCGAUGAAACUCAAAGGAAUUGGCGAGGGUCCUUAUUAACGAUGGAGUGUGUGGUUUAAUUCGAUAUUGAGCGAUUACCAAGUUUUUUAAUGAAUGAAUUUUUUUAUUUAUUGAAAAGGUGGUGCAUGGCUGUUGUCAGUUCGUGCUGUGAAGUGUUAGGUUCAGUCCUAUAACGAACGUAACCCCUUUAAUUUGUUAUAAGUAAACGCAUUUAUUAUAUUUAAUAACAAUAAACUCUUUUUAUAGAUUCUUUUUUGGAUUAUAAAAGGAUGUUUUAUUUUAUUUGUAUAUUUAUGUAAGUUAUUUAUCAAAAUUAAACAGCUAUAAAUAAAUUUAUUUGAUAAAAUAGAGGAAGAGGGACUAUAGCAAGUCAACAUGCCCCGUAUAAUUUGGGCUACGCGCGCACUACAAUGGAAUAUACAAUCUAUAUCUUAAAAAAAAUAUUCCUCAGUUCGGAUUGUGGGAUUAAGCUCGCCCACAUGAAGUAGGAAUCGUAAGUAAUCGUAUGCAGAAUCAUACGGUGAAAUAGUACCCUAUUUCUUGAUAGGAAAUAGGGCAAAUAGGGAUCUUGUACACACUGCCCGACACGUUAUGGUGAAACAAUUGUCUAAAGUCUUUUU
This 1023-nucleotide ribosomal RNA is filed under the name Pilostyles hamiltonii. RNAcentral's name for it is "partial 16S small subunit ribosomal RNA". It matches the Rfam family "Bacterial small subunit ribosomal RNA", at positions 488 to 1433 of the family's 1533-position model. Lineage: Eukaryota; Viridiplantae; Streptophyta; Magnoliopsida; Cucurbitales; Apodanthaceae. The record is from RNAcentral.